GACGAACGCUGGCGGCGUGCUUAACACAUGCAAGUCGAACGGAAAGGCCCUGCUUUUGUGGGGUGCUCGAGUGGCGAACGGGUGAGUAACACGUGAGUAACCUGCCCUUGACUUUGGGAUAACUUCAGGAAACUGGGGCUAAUACCGGAUAGGAGCUCCUGCUGCAUGGUGGGGGUUGGAAAGUUUCGGCGGUUGGGGAUGGACUCGCGGCUUAUCAGCUUGUUGGUGGGGUAGUGGCUUACCAAGGCUUUGACGGGUAGCCGGCCUGAGAGGGUGACCGGCCACAUUGGGACUGAGAUACGGCCCAAACCCCUACGGGAGGCAGCAGUGGGGAAUAUUGCACAAUGGGCGGAAGCCUGAUGCAGCAACGCCGCGUGCGGGAUGACGGCCUUCGGGUUGUAAACCGCUUUCGCCUGUGACGAAGCGUGAGUGACGGUAAUGGGUAAAGAAGCACCGGCUAACUACGUG
This 468-nucleotide ribosomal RNA is filed under the name uncultured bacterium. RNAcentral's name for it is "partial 16S ribosomal RNA". It matches the Rfam family "Bacterial small subunit ribosomal RNA", at positions 28 to 507 of the family's 1533-position model. The record is from RNAcentral.